GAUGAACGCUGGCGGCGUGCCUAAUACAUGCAAGUCGAGCGAAUGGAUUAAGAGCUUGCUCUUAUGAAGUUAGCGGCGGACGGGUGAGUAACACGUGGGUAACCUGCCCAUAAGACUGGGAUAACUCCGGGAAACCGGGGCUAAUACCGGAUAACAUUUUGAACCGCAUGGUUCGAAAUUGAAAGGCGGCUUCGGCUGUCACUUAUGGAUGGACCCGCGUCGCAUUAGCUAGUUGGUGAGGUAACGGCUCACCAAGGAAAGGAUGCGUAGCCGACCGGAGGGGGUGAUCGGCCACACUGGGACUGAGACACGGCCCAGACUCCUACGAGAGGCAGCAGUAGGGAAUCUUCCGCAAUGGACGAAAGUCUGACGGAGCAACGCCGCGUGAGGGGUGAAGGCUUUCGGGUCGUAAAACUCUGUUGUUAGGGAAGAACAAGUGCUAGUUGAAUAAGCUGGCACCUUGACGGUACCUAACCAGAAAGCCACGGCUAACUACGUGCCAGCAGCCGCGGUAA
This 515-nucleotide ribosomal RNA is filed under the name uncultured bacterium. RNAcentral's name for it is "partial 16S ribosomal RNA". It matches the Rfam family "Bacterial small subunit ribosomal RNA", at positions 28 to 523 of the family's 1533-position model. The record is from RNAcentral.